GGAGUUAGCCGGUGCUUCUUCUGUGAGUGAUGUCCUUCCUGCCGGUUAUUGACCCGCAGGCCUUCUUCCUCACUGAAAGUGCUUUACAACCCGAAGGCCUUCUUCACACACGCGGCAUGGCUGGAUCAGGGUUGCCCCCAUUGUCCAAUAUUCCCCACUGCUGCCUCCCGUAGGAGUCUGGGCCGUGUCUCAGUCCCAGUGUGGCUGAUCAUCCUCUCAGACCAGCUACGGAUCGUCGCCUUGGUGAGCCGUUACCUCACCAACCAGCUAAUCCGACAUAGGCUCAUCCGAUAGCGCGAGGCCCGAAGGUCCCCCGNUUUCCCCCGUAGGGCGUAUGCGGUAUUAGCCUGGGUUUCCCCAGGUUAUCCCCCACUACCGGGCAGAUUCCCUAUGCAUUACUCACCCGUCCGCCGCUCGCCACCAGGGAGCAAGCUCCCCGUGCUGCCGCUCGACUUGCAUGUGUAGCUGCCGCCAGCGUCAUACUGAGCAUAAUACAACUACUGA
Molecule: ribosomal RNA, 504 nt
Filed under: uncultured bacterium
Lineage: Bacteria
Description: partial 16S ribosomal RNA
Source: RNAcentral